UCCUACGGGAGGCAGCAGUGGGGAAUAUUGGACAAUGGGGGGAACCCUGAUCCAGCCAUGCCGCGUGUGUGAAGAAGGCCUUAUGGUUGUAAAGCACUUUAAGCGAGGAGGAGGCUACUGAGACUAAUACUCUUGGAUAGUGGACGUACUCGCAGAUAGCC
Molecule: ribosomal RNA, 161 nt
Filed under: Acinetobacter baumannii
Lineage: Bacteria; Pseudomonadati; Pseudomonadota; Gammaproteobacteria; Moraxellales; Moraxellaceae
Description: partial 16S ribosomal RNA
Rfam family: Bacterial small subunit ribosomal RNA
Source: RNAcentral